UGUGGGGUGGGUAGGAGAUUCUCUGGGGAUUCCUUUUUAUCUGCCUAGGCAUCUGGCUGCCUCAGUUCUAGACUACGGCUUCUUAUGCCAGGCUCGGGGUCUUCAAAGUAGAAUACCCCUAUUCCAGGAAAUAUGCAAGACAACCCAAUAGGACAUGAAAAUAAAUCAUUACAACUUGAACUGCCUUUGAAGCUCAGACCCACCGGUCUACUACUACUACUCUUCAUGCCUCUUCACUGGAGGAAAUAUAGGAGUCAUCCAGCAUCCAGGAAGGAAACUCAGAGGGUGGGGGUUUCAGGACAACUUGCUGGUGGAGCGUGAGCAGAAGGGGUUAGACGGUUCUGCCCUUCUGGAGCAGGUGUCUGACCGCAGCAAUUCUGGAGCAUCUGAGUCUGUCCUGAAGCUACCUCUUUGAGGUGACAGAUGACUCAGCCAGGGGCCAGAUGGAACAGGGAUUUUAUAAGCCUGGCUUUAUUUUUUUGUUUCUUUUCUUUUCUUUUCCGUUGUUUUUUUUUUUUUUUGCCUUGCCUUCACCUCUUUGUUUCCUCACCAAAGUCAGCAGCAUGAUGUCACUGAGCACAGGUUGGGAGAGUGGAGUCAAGGUUAAGGUAUAGCAGAAGAAAUCAUCAUGACUACUCUCUCUUCCCACAUCACACUCGAUGGCUUACUCUCCAAAUGAAGAGCUAUGAAUAUCUAACAGGACAAAUAAGCCACGGGCCUGGAGCUCAAGACUUUUUGGUGACUUAGGGAUACAAGCUUAAAUUGAUAGUAAGGAUGCCAGUCUAGGACAAACGUUCUCCUCCCUAGGUAGUCAUCAGUUUGGCUAUCUUCAUUGGAAAAUUGUCUUCGGUAG
Chlorocebus sabaeus (green monkey) is the source of this 853-nucleotide long non-coding RNA. RefSeq lists it as uncharacterized. The record is from RefSeq and is a predicted model, not a curated record. Lineage: Eukaryota; Metazoa; Chordata; Mammalia; Primates; Cercopithecidae.